AACGAACGCUGGCGGCAUGCCUAACACAUGCAAGUCGAACGAAAACGUCGGGCCUAGUAGCGGUCGGGUGCGUACCACGUGGGAACCUGCCCUUAGGUUCGGUAUCCCUCACCGUAGGGUGUGCUAAUGCAGGAUAAUCUAAUCGGAGCAAGGAUUUUUGGCCUUUGGAUGGGCCCGUGUUAGAUUCGCGAGUUGGUGGGGGAAUAGCAUACCAAGGCGACGAUCCAUAGCUGGUCGGAGAGCAGGAUUAGCCACAAUGGGACUGAGACACGGACCAGACUGCUACGGGAGGCAGCAGUGGGGAAUAUUGCGGAAGGGGCGAAAGCCUGACACAGCCAUGCCGCGGGAGUGAGGAAGGGCUUAGGAUUGUAAAUUUCUUUGACCCGGGACGAGAAUGACGGUACCGGGAGAAGAAGCCCCGGCUAACUACGUG
Molecule: ribosomal RNA, 433 nt
Filed under: uncultured bacterium
Lineage: Bacteria
Description: partial 16S ribosomal RNA
Rfam family: Bacterial small subunit ribosomal RNA
Source: RNAcentral